UGUGUAAUCCCUCCGUUGCAAAAUACUUGACUUUCAUUUGUCCAAAAAUGGAUGUACCUAUAUACUAAAACAUGUCUAGAUACAUAUAUAUUUUGACAAAUAGAAGGCAUGUAUUGUGCAAUGGAGGGAGUAGAAU
This is a non-coding RNA of Triticum aestivum (bread wheat), 136 nucleotides long. Lineage: Eukaryota; Viridiplantae; Streptophyta; Magnoliopsida; Poales; Poaceae. The record is from Rfam.